This 485-nucleotide ribosomal RNA is filed under the name uncultured bacterium. Its description in RNAcentral is "partial 16S ribosomal RNA". It matches the Rfam family "Bacterial small subunit ribosomal RNA", at positions 899 to 1397 of the family's 1533-position model. The record is from RNAcentral.
ACUCAAAGGAAUUGACGGGGCUCGGCACAAGCAGUGGAGCAUGUGGUUUAAUUCGAUGCUACGCGAAGAACCUUACCGAGGCUUGACAUCCUGGGAAGUCUGCUGAAAGGCGGAUGUGCCUUCGGGAACCCAGUGACAGGUAUUGCAUGGCCGUCGUCAGCUCGUGUCGUGAGAUGUUGGGUUAAGUCCCGCAACGAGCGCAACCCUUAUUGUGUGUUGUAUUUUUCACACAAGACUGCCCGGGCCAACCGGGAGGAAGGUGGGGAUGACGUCAGGUCCGCAUGGUCCUUACGCCUCGGGCCACACACGUGCUACAACGGCCGGUACAACGGGUAUGCCAAGUCGCAAGACGGAGCUAAUCCUUCAAAACCGGUCCCAGUUCGGAUUGCAGGCUGCAACUCGCCUGCAUGAAGUUGGAAUUGCUAGUAACCGUGGGUCAGCAUACCACGGUGAAUACGUUCCCCGAGCUUGUACACACCGCCCGU